This 460-nucleotide ribosomal RNA is filed under the name uncultured bacterium. RNAcentral's name for it is "partial 16S ribosomal RNA". It matches the Rfam family "Bacterial small subunit ribosomal RNA", at positions 338 to 795 of the family's 1533-position model. The record is from RNAcentral.
CCUACGGGUGGCUGCAGUGAGGAAUAUUGGUCAAUGGUCGGGAGACUGAACCAGCCAAGCCGCGUGAGGGAUGAAGGUACUGUGUAUCGUAAACCUCUUUUGUCAGGGAACAAAGGCGGGUACGUGUCCCCGGAUGAGUGUACCUGAAGAAUAAGCAUCGGCUAACUCCGUGCCAGCAGCCGCGGUAAUACGGAGGAUGCGAGCGUUAUCCGGAUUUAUUGGGGUUAAAGGGUGCGCAGGCGGCUGAGUAAGACAGAUGUGAAAUCCCCGGGCGUAACCUGGGAACCGCAUAUGUGACUGGUUGGCUAGAGUGCGUCAGAGGGAGGUGGAAUGCAUGGUGUAGCAGUGAAAUGCGUAGAUAUGUGGAAGAACACCGAUGGCGAAGGCAGCCUCCUGGGACGCAACUGACGCUCAUACACGAAAGCGUGGGGAGCAAACAGGAUUAGAUACCCUGGUAGUC